AAACUUUUCCCUCAAUCGGGCGAGCAUUUUGAAAUGAUGCGCGCUUCGAUGAAUACUGCAACGGCUCAUGGGCGCGAUUUGUCCCAUGAGCCGAAAUGCAGAGCCGGAGCCGUCCGAGAGAGGUUAUCGUUGA
This 133-nucleotide non-coding RNA is filed under the name unclassified sequences. Its description in RNAcentral is "RAGATH-4 RNA". It matches the Rfam family "RAGATH-4 RNA". Rfam says of the family: RNA motif Associated with Genes Associated with Twister and Hammerhead ribozymes (RAGATH). The record is from Rfam by way of RNAcentral.